Cygnus olor (mute swan) is the source of this 841-nucleotide long non-coding RNA. RefSeq lists it as uncharacterized. The record is from RefSeq and is a predicted model, not a curated record. The transcript has 3 exons. Lineage: Eukaryota; Metazoa; Chordata; Aves; Anseriformes; Anatidae.
CUCUCCCCUCCCACCAGGUUGUUAAAUUGUUAAAUGUUUGCUGCAUUGAUCUCAACAGCUGAGCAUGAAACAGUGAGCUGUAGUUGAGACCUCCUGCGAGCUCGAUAAACUUAAUGGACAUCCUUGAGAACUUUAACUGGGAAGAUUUAGCUCCCGAGGAAGAAGGAAGCAAACACCCGGAGCAGCUUUGUCUGCCUGUUGUACCUCAUUUUGCCAGAAACAGCUGCUCAUGCUGGGAUUAGCUCAGAGGCUAGGACUUCCUCCCCCCUUCAGCCCUGUUACAUAAUAAACAAUGACCCGAAAUGAUCAGUAAGCCCAUUCCUCCAUGGCUAGUUAGAGUCAUGGAUCAAUACCCAAACUACAAAUCACCAAGGACCAUAAGAAAUCCCCACUAAGGUCCAGACCUAGACUUGCUGCAGCAGGGUGUAGAUCCACUCAACCUGUCCAAAGAUGGUAUUUAUAAGCCAUCCAAAAAUACCUGCUGCCUUUCACUGAGGUGUGACCACAACAGAUUGGAGACAGCUUGAAAUGCAGACACCUCCAAGGUGCCUUGUUCACAGCAGUGACGUGUGAGACAGCCAAGUGAUGGACCUGGAGCUCAGCUGAAAUGGCAGGAGUGGGUUCAGCAGCGCACGAUGACAUUGCACGUUGGUGUGCUGUAAUUAAUGCUGAUAAAGUGCAGUAUAUCCUUCAAAAUUGGCUGAUGACCUGUGUUUAACCACUCAGCCUCACCAGUUGUGGUUUACAGGAAUGGUACGUACAUACUGGCACUGUCUCUUUCUUCUCCAGUGGGGAAAGGGAUGAAAGUUCGUGUCUCCCCUUUGUUAGGUCACAAAGUGUU